Molecule: long non-coding RNA, 266 nt
Filed under: Bos taurus (domestic cattle)
Lineage: Eukaryota; Metazoa; Chordata; Mammalia; Artiodactyla; Bovidae
Description: long non-coding RNA NONBTAT013907
Source: RNAcentral
AUUCUAGGAGCCCAUUUCAGCUAACAGAUCCUCUUGCCACAGGCUGUGACCCAAACACAGAGUGAGAAAUCUGGCUGUUGCCUUGUGGGGCAACUGCUAGCUUGGAGCUUACUUAAGGAGCAUUAAUGUCCGAUGAAACCAUUUUUCCCCCCUACAAGUGGCCAAGCGGAGAAACUUUGCCAGAAGUGAGCUUUCCAUAAAAGAAGCGUCCCCCUGAGGCUGAGGCCACAGGGGAUUAAACACUGCGUUCAGGACCUGGAUGCAUU